AUGGCGAGCCACAGCCAGCCGCCGGCGCAGGAGUUCACCAGGGCCAUCGCCGACGCGGCCGCCGCCGGUGAGGAGCAGGAGCUAGUACCCAGUCCCAGUGCGGGGCACGGCGCCGCAUCACAGCCACAGAGACAGUGGGUCACGCCGCCGGCACCGCCGGCCGCCGCAGUUGUUGAUGCCGCGGAGGGGAGCUUACCUCCAGUGCAGCAAUUUGCUCCAACAACCUCAAUCUCUAAGCCUAAGGCAGUACAGAAUUCAAAACUCAAGAGGAAGAGCAUCGCCAUUGAUUUGAAAACUUUGUGGAGUAGAGCUGGGAAGAAAUCUAGAGCAUGUGCAGGGGCUCUAGUGAACACAAGUCCAAUUGCAGAACAUGUUCAGGUUGAGCAGCAAGUGCAGGUGCAGAACACUUCCCCAUCGAAUCAACUUCAUAGCACUAUGAGCUCCCCUUCAGUUCAAAAUCAGCAGCAGCUACAGAUUGUUGGUGCCACGAACACAAGUCCAAUUGCAGAACCUGAGAUUGAGCACGAAGCAAGCGAAGAAUCUGAAAAUAUAGAGGAAGAGAAUGACACUGAAGAUGCAGUUUACGAUGUUCAGCUGCUUGAACCUGAUCCUGGGAAGAGGAUUGCUAUUGCAGAUUAUGAUGUUAAUGACCAGAACAGGAUUAGAAGAGGAUACAUUGCAAAAGGGGCUUGUCGACCAAAAAAGUAUGCUUUUCCACAACACCCUGUUGGAGGAUUUAGAAAUUGGAAUCACAAGGCUAGUUUUGGGAAACAUGUUGGUGGGAUCAAUAGUGCACACAACAAAGCACAAGAGAAAUACAAUUUCUUCAUUGCACCCAAAACAACAAUCGUAGAGUCAUUUUCUUCAACCACCAAACAAGACAAGAUUCAAUUGCAAUUGUUGAGAGAUGAUGGUGGAUGGGAAACUUUCCUUGAAGAGGUCACUUCUUAUUGUGUCAAGCAUAAAGUCAAAGUUCCUCAAAUGGAUGGUAAGUACAAGCCACCUGGAAGACCCUCAAGAUUCUACAAAAAUCUCACGAAUCUCCAUCGCUUCCAUGUUGAGAUGUUUUUGGGUCUUAUUGAUAGGCAACUUCGAGAGCUUGGAGAUAGAUUUGAUGAGAGAUGA
This 1125-nucleotide ribosomal RNA is filed under the name Triticum aestivum (bread wheat). RNAcentral describes it as "partial small subunit ribosomal RNA". The record is from RNAcentral. Lineage: Eukaryota; Viridiplantae; Streptophyta; Magnoliopsida; Poales; Poaceae.